AAGUCGUAACAAGGUUUCCGUAGGUGAACCUGCGGAAGGAUCAUUAAAAAAUCUUCUGAGCCGCAAGGCUCUAUUAUUUUGUGAAGCGUUGUUGUUUGUGUGUGUGUAGGUGUAGUAGGAGUGUGUUUGGGUUGUGUGGUGUGGUGAUGAUGGGUUGUUGUUGGUGAUGGUGUUGUUUUUUGGGGGAUGAUGGAUUUAUUCGUUGUCCUGCAUUAUUUAUAACGACAUUAUCUAUUGCCAUAUGCUUCUCAUUCUCGCUUCUGCACGCGCUCAUCUACCUUUUUACUAUAGUGCGCACGCAUGCAUGCAUAUUUUUUAAACAUAUGUCUUUGAUGUUCAGGAAUAAAUAUAUCUUUAAUAUAUAUACAACUUUCAACAGUGGAUCUCUCGGCUCUU
RNAcentral lists this unclassified non-coding RNA (396 nucleotides) under fungal sp. Its description in RNAcentral is "partial internal transcribed spacer region". The stretch from base 1 to 46 matches the Rfam family "Eukaryotic small subunit ribosomal RNA", at positions 1786 to 1831 of the family's 1831-position model. Lineage: Eukaryota; Fungi. The record is from RNAcentral.